UCAAAAAUGAAUUGUUUGCUGUUCACUCUGACUUUUCUUGUGCUGGUGGUCGCCCCUGGUUGUGCCUUGAAAUGCUAUGUGUGUUCUGGCACUGAAGAUACUUGCAGCAAGAGCAAACUGGAACGUAACCGGGCCAUUUAUCUCAAGGAAUGUUCUUCGGCCUUUGACAGGUGCGGUAGGAGCUGGUCUAAGAAAGGUGACAAUAACCAUGUGGAGAACGACUGCGCCAACGAAUCCAUGUGUAAUUAUUCAAAAGAGCUUUGUGACCAUCUUAAAGAUAAUAUCAAGGACUACGAGUGCGGGGUUGGUUGCUGUACUAGCUAUGCCUGUAACGCAGGCUCACCUGUGACCUUUAGCUUCCUCCUAUUGACCGUCUCCCUUGUUCUGGGCCUGGCACUAAUGAAGUAGACGCAGACCAAGUAAAGAUGCUGACGUGUUCCCUGCACUGAUUAAUAGUAGUUUUAUUGGGCAGGAUGGAGAGUCAUUAUUACUCGCACACAAAAAAGUAGAUCUGUAGAUAUAAGUGACUUUACAUUUGUAAGCCUGUUAGUUUGAAUAAACAUUUUAAAAUGAUCC
RNAcentral lists this long non-coding RNA (576 nucleotides) under Stylophora pistillata. RNAcentral's name for it is "uncharacterized LOC111346975". The record is from RNAcentral. Lineage: Eukaryota; Metazoa; Cnidaria; Anthozoa; Scleractinia; Pocilloporidae.